CUUUAUAUUUUCAGAGUUGUUGCAACGACUUGCAGGCUGGGUUGGGGCUUUCAAGGCACAUUAAUAAAUGGACAAAAACUGCCAGUAGCCUAAAAAUACACAGCAGCUACGAUCCGACUAAAAAAGAGCAGCACGGUUGGCCUCUCCUCACUUGGCAACUGCAGGAGCCACAACAAAUAAAAGGCUUCCCUUCCCCCCCCGCCCCACUUCCAGCCAAGGCAUAAAUUGCACAGAGGAAGAAAUGCGCGCGCGCACGCACCCGCGCACACAUACAAAACGAUAUCGGCGGUUUCGGCGACUAGCGGGGAAAGGGCCAUUAUGCCAAGGUUGCGCCAGAGCCAAACGCCCGGGGGGCAAGAGAGCACCUCCACACCUAAAAGCGGGGAUGCAGAGAGAACCGGGAGAGGAACAACCAGGUCCCGGGCGGGCGCCCUACAUACCUGCGUCUUCCCCGCCUCACCUCAACGCAACCGUGUCCUUCGCUCGCCCAUCCGCGGACGGCCGCGCUCCGGCCUGCCUGGUCCCCCUGCAGGGGCGAGAAAGCGGCGUGGGAGGUUUGGCUUGAUGGGCCGUUUUGUCUCGGCAGGGGGAGAAAGGAGGUGGAAGCGCCGAGCGGGAAGGCGUCUCUCUUGGCUGCCUUCAGCCGCCUUUCCCCUUUAGGCUCGCCAGCUCUAGGCGCUCGCUUUCCCUACCGGAGAAAUGCCAGAGAUCCGGAGCCCUGAGAAGAGACGGCUGGGGCGCUUUGAAGGCUACUUGCAUUGCAGAUGCCGCCUCAAAUGUAGGUAGCCUUGAGUCCGGCGGUCUCCAUUCCUAGGAAGUGAGUGGCAACGUGCAAGGUUGUGAAAUUCCCCCCGUGGGGAAUUUUUUGACGUUUUGCGGAUCUUUGUCCGCUGAAUGUUAGAGAUCUACAUAAAGAGGGUCUGCAAUACACGAAUACCAUCUUUAAGUGCUCGUUUUAGUUCGGUGUAAACAAAGUCAAGUCAUGCGGCACAUAGUACGUUAGUGUGAAAAAGUAAUUGCUCCGUUUAGAAUGAAUAAAUGUCUAUGGAGAUUCUCGGUCACAUAGGUCAUGAUUGUCCCAAAAGUCUUUUUCAAGAGGCAACUUGACUUUCUCUUAAGACGUUUCAAGAAGCUUCUUCAGCCUUAGAUUCAGUAGUUUUAUUUAAUUUCUGUGCUGCUCCAAGACUCUCUAGCUGGGGCACCGACUUUAUCGGCAGUAACUGAAACCUAAACACUCUGUAACUGGGAUCAGUAUCUCACAUUGCAACUGGACAGGCUGAACUCAUACUGGGUGAAGGUAGUAGAUCUCAGCAUCUUUUCUGGAUCUUCCCAACUCUAACCCUGCAUUCUUCUUUGGAGUGGUAGUUCCCACUAUCUGGGACAUAUUAUUUGGGACAUAUUUCAUCCAACUCAUAAAUCCAAUGCAUGAGGCAGACCUGCAAUGGACCAGAGCAUGCCAGUCCCCACCCCACCCUUCACUAUCCCCCCCUGCCCCCAGUCUGCCUUUCUGUACUGGGAAUUAAAAAAUAAAAGUGCAAAAUAGCUUCACUACUAGAACCUUCUGACUAUUCAUAUAGCAUAGAGUCAUACAUAUGACUAGUUGAACUUUUCUAUGGAAAUAUACCAAUCUCACUAGAAAUAAACCUACCAGUGUUCAAACUUUUAAAAAAAUAUGUUAUCCAAGUUUAAAGUUAAAAAUGUUACUUUUCAAAAUGCAAACAUUCAAAGAGGAAGAGGAUAAAUUCCAAGACUAGAUGGCAGUAAAAUAGCUUUUUAAAAGAAAUAUACAAAAGAAAAUAGUUCAUAAGAGUAUAGUAAAAUGUACCAUCUUGUGGUCUGUUGGGAGCAUUGCAUCCCAGGAAAUAGCUUUGGCACUAAGUCUCAUUAAAGGGUACUUAUUAGAUUUGUCAAAUUAAUAUUAUACACUGUAAGAUGUUUUUCAAGUGAUAUUGUAUGGGAAAUACAGCAAUGGUUAGGAUAUUUUUGGGUUAUUUGUCUUUCUGCAUGACCUGCUUGCACUCAGCUGACUGAUUCUUCUGCAGCAAAAUUAAAAAGGCAGCAAAAUGACCUGUCCUUCUAGAUGGUUCUUCUGCAGUUGCCUUUCCAAAUGAGCCAAUGUUGAUAGCUGCCUC
Long non-coding RNA from Thamnophis elegans (Western terrestrial garter snake), 2132 nucleotides. RefSeq lists it as uncharacterized. The record is from RefSeq and is a predicted model, not a curated record. Lineage: Eukaryota; Metazoa; Chordata; Lepidosauria; Squamata; Natricidae. The transcript is spliced from 2 exons.